Molecule: ribosomal RNA, 494 nt
Filed under: uncultured bacterium
Lineage: Bacteria
Description: partial 16S ribosomal RNA
Rfam family: Bacterial small subunit ribosomal RNA
Source: RNAcentral
GACGAACGCUGGCGGCGUGCUUAACACAUGCAAGUCGAACGGAAAGGCCUGCUUUCCCUUGUGUAUUGCGGGUACUCGAGUGGCGAACGGGUGAGUACCACGUGAGUGAUCUGCCCCCAACUUGGGUAUAAGCCUGGGAAACUGGGUCUAAUUCCCGAUAGGACUGCAGUGUGGUGCCUGUGGUGGAAAACGAUUUUCUAGUGGUUGGGGAUGAGCUCGCGGCCUAUCAGCUUGUUGGUGGGGUAAUGGCCUACCAAGGCGGCGAAGGGUAGCCGGCCUGGGAGGGGGGACGGCAGACUUGGGACUGAGAUACGGGCAAGAAUACAAAGGGAGGAAGCAGUGGGGAAGAGUGGAGAAUGGGCGGAAGCCUGAGGCAGCGACGCCGAGUGGGGGAUGACGGGCUUCGGGUUGUAAACUCCUUUCGACCGCGAGGAAGCCACCUGGUUGGAAGGGUGGUGACGGUAGUGGUAGAAGAAGCACCGGCUAACUACGUG